RNAcentral lists this unclassified non-coding RNA (219 nucleotides) under plant metagenome. RNAcentral's name for it is "partial contains small subunit ribosomal RNA, internal transcribed spacer 1, and 5.8S ribosomal RNA". The record is from RNAcentral.
UUUCCGUAGGUGAACCUGCGGAAGGAUCAUACAGAGUUCAUGCCCUCACGGGUAGAUCUCCCACCCUUGAAUAUUUAUACCUUAGUUGCUUUGGCAGGCCGUGGAAACACCAUGGGCUCCGGCUUAUGCGUGCCUGCCAGAGGAAACAAACUCUGUUUUUAGUGAUGUCUGAGUACUAUAUAAUAGUUAAAACUUUCAACAACGGAUCUCUUGGUUCUG